AAGGUAGCAUAAUCAUUAGUCUUUUAAUUGAAGGCUGGUAUGAAUGGUUUGACGAAACACUAACUGUCUCUUUAUGAUAAGUAGAAUUUAACUUUUGAGUCAAAAGGCUUAAAUUGUUAUAAAAGACGAGAAGACCCUAUAGAUCUUUAUAUAAGGAUAUUUCGAUUUUGUUUAGAAGUAUUAUUAAUGGUAAUAUUAUUAUAUUUUGUUGGGGUGACAUGAAGAUACAAUUAACUCUUUAUAUUUAUUACAUUGAUUUAUGGAUGAUUGAUCCGUUAUUAACGAUUGUAAGAUAAAGUUACCUUAGGGAUAACAGCGUAAUUUUUUUUGAGAGUUCUUAUCGACAAAAAAGAUUGCGACCUCGA
This 365-nucleotide ribosomal RNA is filed under the name Paradrymadusa sp. 290. RNAcentral describes it as "partial 16S ribosomal RNA". It matches the Rfam family "Archaeal large subunit ribosomal RNA", at positions 2030 to 2598 of the family's 2987-position model. The record is from RNAcentral. Lineage: Eukaryota; Metazoa; Arthropoda; Insecta; Orthoptera; Tettigoniidae.